ACUCCUACGGGAGGCAGCAGUCGAGAAUUUUUCUCAAUGGGGGAAACCCUGAAGGAGCGACGCCGCGUGGGGGAUGAAUGGCUUCGGCCCGUAAACCCCUGUCAUUUGUGAACAAACUCCACCGGUUAAUACCUAAUGAAUUGAUAGUAGCGGAAGAGGAAGGGACGGCUAACUCUGUGCCAGCAGCCGCGGUAAUACAGAGGUCCCAAGCGUUGUUCGGAUUCACUGGGCGUAAAGGGUGCGUAGGUGGUGAGGUAAGUCGGAUGUGAAAUCUCCGGGCUCAACCCGGAAAUGGCAUUGGAAACUACCCUGCUGGAGGAUUUGAGGGGGGAUUGGAAUACUUGGUGUAGCAGUGAAAUGCGUAGAUAUCAAGUGGAACACCAGUGGCGAAGGCGAGUCCCUGGAAAAUACCUGACACUGAGGCACGAAAGCUAGGGGAGCAAACAGGAUUAGAUACCCUGGUAGUCCUAGCCGUAAACGGUGCUUGCUUGCUGUAAAAGGAAUCGACCCCUUUUGUGGCGGAGCUAACGCGAUAAGCAAGCCGCCUGGGAAGUACGGUCGCAAGAUUAAAACUCAAAGGAAUUGACGG
RNAcentral lists this ribosomal RNA (589 nucleotides) under uncultured Verrucomicrobiota bacterium. RNAcentral describes it as "bacterial SSU rRNA". It matches the Rfam family "Bacterial small subunit ribosomal RNA", at positions 335 to 916 of the family's 1533-position model. The record is from RNAcentral. Lineage: Bacteria; Pseudomonadati; Verrucomicrobiota.